ACCUGAGCCGCCAUUUCGCGGUCGGACAGGCCGCCGCAAAUCUGGAUGAUACGGUCAGACAGCGUCGAUUUACCGUGGUCGAUGUGGGCAAUAAUAGAAAAGUUGCGUAUGUUCUUCAUAGUUAGAGGUUUUUAUGCCUUACAAAUGGCCUGUGAGCUCGGCGCUUCGCGCAGUACGGAGCAGGAUGUCAGUGACUGUCUUCUGCCUGAAACGCCGCAUUCUACACUACAACCAGAAAGCGAGGAAACUGCUCAUCCUGCAAGCUUAGUUAAGCCGUAGGCAGGAUGUGCAAAGAUAUGUCAACCAGAGGGAAAUUACGGGUUUUCAGCCGGGGGAGUUGAGGUGUCGACGCGUAAUGCAUCCGGGCCAAGCGCAACGCUCAGGAUAACCGGCUGCCAGCUUUCACGGCUGCUGAAGCGCUGUGAAACGCCUCGCGCAAUCAGGAAGCCGCCCACGCCGCCCAGCAGCGCCCCGGCCAUAGCAGCGAGGUUGGUGCUAAACAGCGUCUGGAACAACGCGGAACAGAGGAAUAACCCGACCAGAGGCGACAUAUAAACCAGCAGAGCGGAACCCAGCAGGCUGCCUUCGGCAAUGCCCAGUUCAACUUUCUGCCCCGCCACCAGCGGCUGCUCGCUUGGCACCGACAGCAAAUGGCUGGUUUGCGGCCCGAGCUUAUUCAGUACCCGGGUGCCGCAACCCGAACGCGAAGCGCAGCUGCUGCAAGAAGCCUUGACGUCGCAGUGCAAUAAAGCCUCGCCGUUUUCCCAGGAGACAACGGUCGCCCACUCUUUAAUCAUGGCGUCGCCCCGUUGAAUUUAAUGCUGUCGGUAAUACGU
This is a non-coding RNA of Cedecea davisae DSM 4568, 836 nucleotides long. Lineage: Bacteria; Pseudomonadati; Pseudomonadota; Gammaproteobacteria; Enterobacterales; Enterobacteriaceae. The record is from Rfam.